AGGUGAAGCAUCUCUAUCAGGGGGUGCUGGGGAAGUUGAGAGAGCUCCACCCUGGCUGGAGGAUGUUUGGAGGGAAAACCGAAGGUCUGGAGAGGCAGGUGGAGCAGGAGAUGGUGCGACGAAGAGCACUGGGCAAUCAGCUGACACAGCUGCUGGACAGCCAGCUGCAGAUCCUGCGGGUGGAGAUGAGAGCACAGCAGGCCAUGCAGAAGACCUUCAGAGCACGACUGAGAGAGAGCGCGAGGCUUCUGAGACUGCUGGCUGAGGGUCAGACCUCGCUCUGGGAUAAACACAUCAAGCAACAUGUUCUGGAGCGGGUAGCUGUGCUGGCUGAUGAGAUGACUGAGAAGGUAUCAGUGGAGAGCCAGAGGCUGGGGGCCUGGGUUGUGCUUAAAGAGGGCACUGGAGCACAGCUAUUAUGCCCUGCUACUGGAUCAGUCCUCAGUAGGGAAGACAUCAUCGCUCCUGAUGGAUCUCUUAGAGCUUGUGAUGCCGUUCAUGUAAACCCCCUCACAGGCCUCAUUCAGCCCAACUCUAACGCCCAUAUGUUACUGGCCAGUGGACACAGCAUGCCAGUUCCCCCGGACUUCUUCCUACACUCCCAGACUGGCAAACUACUGCCUAUGGCUGGAAACGUGGGCUUUGAUCCUGUUUCCUCCACCCUUGUCUUUACAGCCGAUGCUUGUGUGGAUGUUACAUUGUUAUGGCAAUGAAGCUGUAACCCGGAUUUUUGCUUUUUCAAAAAAGAAGAGGGGAGGUGGGAAAAUGGGAACUACCCCUGCUGCCUUUCAUUCCGUACCCUCCGUCCCGCCACGCCGAACUUCAUGCUGCUUCCAAACUACGGGGGCUUCGUUCAGGCCAAAGGCUGAUGCUUGGAGGACCCAUGUGUGACUGUGACACUGGUGUUUUGGUGCCUAUUCAGGCAGUCACCAUCCAUCCACAAACAGGAUUGGUUUAUCCUUUGGGAGGCGUGCACACGUGUCCCAUCUCACGCCUGUGGCAGCCUAUUCAAAUAGGCUCUCCCAUGCUGGACCCACGUACAGGUGACCUAGUGCUCAUCACGGGCAUCACUCUUGAUCCCCAUACAG
Long non-coding RNA from Cyprinus carpio carpio, 1088 nucleotides. The record is from Ensembl. NCBI's taxonomy places the organism in Eukaryota, Metazoa, Chordata, Actinopteri, Cypriniformes, Cyprinidae.